RNAcentral lists this long non-coding RNA (336 nucleotides) under Papio anubis (olive baboon). RNAcentral describes it as "lncRNA (ENSPANG00000044204.1)". Lineage: Eukaryota; Metazoa; Chordata; Mammalia; Primates; Cercopithecidae. The record is from RNAcentral.
AUGGUCUCCAACUCCUGGAGAUUGCUUAUCUUCCUAGCUCAGCUUCCCAAGCAGCUGGGGCUGCAGUGGAGAGAAUUGCUUUGCAAAGGAGUCCGGGUCCCACUGGAAGGACCCCUUUCCAUACACCGUAGCAAUUCCGUAGCAGCCUCGACUCUCCCCUCGACGGACGGCAGAUGGCGCUGCGCUUCUCUUUUUGCCGCCUCGAUGACGGGACAGGAACCCAACUUUGGCAGAGCUGAGUUGAAGAUUGCUAGCGACCUAUUCGGAACUGGGUACUUCUCCUUCCUGCCAUCAUGUGAAGAAGAACACGUUUGCUUCCCCUUCCACCACGGUUAA